GUCUUCGGAGUAGUAAAGUGGCGUACGGGUGAGUAAGACAUGGGUAAUCUGCCUUUGAGCGGGGGAUAACCAGCCGAAAGGCUGGCUAAUACUCCAUACGCUUCCGGUCCUUCGGGUAAGGAAAGAAAGCUGCAUCGUGGAUGUGGCACUCAAAGAUGGGCUCAUGGCCUAUCAGCUUGUUGGUAGGGUAACGGCCUACCAAGGCAACGACGGGUAGCUGGUCUGAGAGGACGAUCAGCCACACUGGCACUGAGAUACGGGCCAGACUCCUACGGGAGGCAGCAGUGGGGAAUAUUGCGCAAUGGCCGAAAGGUUGACGCAGCGACGCCGCGUGUGGGAGGACGCCCUUCGGGGUGUAAACCACUGUCAGGGGGGAAGAACUUCGUAGGUGCGAAUAGUGCUUACGGUUGACGGUACCCCCAAAGGAAGCGCCGGCUAACUCCGUGCCAGCAGCCGCGGUAAGACGGAGGGCGCAAGCGUUGUUCGGAAUUACUGGGCGUAAAGGGCAGGUAGGUGGUCUGUUAAGUCUUCUGUGAAAAUCCGGGGCUCACCCCGUGAAAUGCAGGUGAAACUGGCAGACUUGAGACCGGUAGAGGCUAGCGGAAUUCCUGGUGUAGCGGGUGGAAUGCGUAGAUAUCAGGAAGAACACCUGUGGCGAAGGCGGCUAGCUGGGGCCGGUUCUGACACUGAACCGCGAAAGCGUGGGGAGCAAACAGGAUUAAGAUACCCUGGCAGUCCACGCCGUAAACGAUGGG
RNAcentral lists this ribosomal RNA (755 nucleotides) under uncultured bacterium. RNAcentral's name for it is "bacterial SSU rRNA". It matches the Rfam family "Bacterial small subunit ribosomal RNA", at positions 78 to 813 of the family's 1533-position model. The record is from RNAcentral.